CCUACGGGAGGCAGCAGUGAGGAAUAUUGGUCAAUGGACGAGAGUCUGAACCAGCUAAGUAGCGUGAAGGAUGACUGCCCUAUGGGUUGUAAACUUCUUUUAUAUGGGAAUAAAAUGUUCCACGUGUGGGAUUUUGUAUGUACCAUAUGAAUAAGGAUCGGCUAACUCCGUUACAGCAGCCGCGGUAAUACGGAGGAUCCGGGCGUUAUCCGGAUUUUUUGGGUUUAACGGGAGCGUAGGUGGAUUGUUAAGUCAGUUGUGAAAGUUUGCGGCUCAACCGUAAAAUUGCAGUUGAAACUGGCAGUCUGAGUACAGUAGAGGUGGGCGGAAUUCGAGGUGUAGCGGUGAAAUGCUUAGAUAUCACGAAGAACUCCGAUUGCGAAGGCAGCUCACUGGACUGCAACUGACACUGAGGCUCGAAAGUGUGGGUAUCAAACAGGAUUAGAUACCCGAGUAGUC
Molecule: ribosomal RNA, 459 nt
Filed under: uncultured bacterium
Lineage: Bacteria
Description: partial 16S ribosomal RNA
Rfam family: Bacterial small subunit ribosomal RNA
Source: RNAcentral